Molecule: ribosomal RNA, 253 nt
Filed under: uncultured bacterium
Lineage: Bacteria
Description: partial 16S ribosomal RNA
Rfam family: Bacterial small subunit ribosomal RNA
Source: RNAcentral
UACGUAGGGGGCAAGCGUUGUCCGGAUUUAUUGGGCGUAAAGGGCGCGUAGGCGGGAUGGCAAGUCGGUCGUGAAAUCCCUCGGCUCAACCGAGGAACGUCGAUCGAUACUGCUGUUCUUGAGGAUUGCAGAGGAGACUGGAAUUCCCGGUGUAGCGGUGAAAUGUGUAGAGAUCGGGAGGAACACCGGUGGCGAAGGCGGGUCUCUGGGCAAUUCCUGACGCUGAGGCGCGAAAGCGUGGGGAGCAAACGGG